Molecule: non-coding RNA, 1095 nt
Organism: Paramormyrops kingsleyae
Lineage: Eukaryota; Metazoa; Chordata; Actinopteri; Osteoglossiformes; Mormyridae
Source: RefSeq, a predicted model, not a curated record
CGUUAUGCUCAGUUGAAGGUCUGUCAUCCUCCUUAGAUCAGAGAGCAACAUCGGCAGGGAGUCCCCUCUCCUGAGUCAGGCAAACUUCGAGCCCAGGCACUUCCUGGUGGAAGUCUCGAAGAAGGAGAAGAGCCUGCAGAACCUCCUGGAAGUGCCUCCCAAUGUAGCAUUGUCCCAAUCCAAACUGGGAACCACUAGGCCAGAAAAGAGGAGGUUUUCCAUGGCUUUCUCCGAGAGCAGCAUGGGGCCAGUGAGCAAGCGGCGAUGUGCUACCCAGGGUUCAGUGGGGCCAAGGUCUACUGCCAGACUCAGGUUUGCCCCUGGUCCAGCUCAUCCUCUGGGUCCAUCUCCGCCUCUGGGCCUAGCCCUGGCUCCUGACCAAGCUCUGCCUCUGGGCCCAGCCUUGACUCCUGACCAAGCUCUGCCUCUGGACCCAGCCCUGGCCCCUGGCCUAGUUCCACCCCUGGACCUCGCUCGACCUCUGGAUCCAGCCCUGAGCCGAGCUCCUCCUCUGGGCCCUGCCCUGGUCCCUGGCCAAGCUCCAUUCCUGGACCCAGCUCUGGUCCCUGGCCAAGCUCCAUUCCUGGACCCAACUCUGGCCCCUGAACCCAGCUUUGACCCCUGGUGGAGCUCCGCCCCUGGACCCAGUUCUGCUACUGAUCCCAGCUCUGGCCCCCGACCCAGCUUUGCCUCUGGACACAGUUCUGCCCCUGGACCCAGCCCUGGCUCUUGACCAAGCUCUGCCUCUGGGCCCAGCCCUGGCCCCUGGCCUAGUUCCUCCCCUGGACCCAGGCCUGCUGCCUUCCGUGUGUUCGACUUCCUCAGGGUUUUUCGGACAUCAGUCAUGUUGAGGGUCAGUGCUCAAGAAGGGCAGAAGUCAUGUUCUCUGAUGAAUCCCCUUUCCGAUUGUUUGGGGCAUCCAAAAAAAGAUUGUCUGGAGGAGAAAAGGUGAGGGCUACGAUCAGUCCUGUGUCAUGCCAACAGGAAAGCAUCCUGAGACCAUUUGUGUGGGGUUGCUUUUCAGCCAAGGGACUGUGCUCACUCACAAUUUUGCCUAUGAACACAACCAUGAAUAAAGAAUGGUACCAAAACAUC